CAGGGAGACAACAAAAUGUUUAAUAUUAUUAUUUUGUCACCUUAGGUCGAUCGGUAUCUCACGUUCUUAAUUUAUUAAGAAUUUCAUUUUCUAAGUUUUUCUAGGUCACACCCAUUAUUUCUCCUGGGCCAUUAGCUCAGGUGGUUAGAGCGCACCCCUGAUAAGGGUGAGGUCCCUGGUUCAAGUCCAGGAUGGCCCAUAUCUCUAUGUUGGGGGUAUAGCUCAGUGGGUAGAGCGCCUGCUUUGCAAGCAGGAUGUCAGCGGUUCGAGUCCGCUUACCUCCACUGAUUACCACCUCUUCCAUAAUCCGUAGAAAGGAAAUGUUUUGAGUUGUGAUCAAAUUCUGAACGAAUCUAGCUUCCUAAUAAAAUUAUUAAGAUGCUGGACUCAUUGAAUUAAUUUCAUUGUUUUCAGAGAACCUUGACAACUGCAUAGAUUAUUUUUUUAAAGACAAUAAGCAUCUUUAAUGAUGCAGAUUUAUUAUUUGUGCGAAUGCAUUAAUAACAAUUCUAUUAAGCUGAUGCUUCAAUUUUGAAGUUAUU
Molecule: transfer RNA, 542 nt
Filed under: uncultured cyanobacterium
Lineage: Bacteria; Bacillati; Cyanobacteriota
Description: partial 16S-23S ribosomal RNA intergenic spacer
Rfam family: tRNA (bases 212-284)
Source: RNAcentral